UAUUGUUGGUAUCGGGAGAGACGAGAAACGAGAGGGAGUGCUCUUAGAGAUAGAGUUUUAUUUAUUUCAAUUAAAUCAUCGAACAAUCCAAUUUAAAAUCUUCCCCAUAUUAAAACGCGCCUGAAAAUCCGUUAUCCUGUACUUGUAUUUCGCGGGAAAAGAUGUCGGGGAAGGGGGCGAAGGGGCUGAUUAUGGGCAAGACCGCCACCAACAGCGGCGGCAAAGACGAAGGACAAGAAGAAACCCAUCUCUCGUUCCUCCCGCGCCGGCCUUCAGGAGGGGUUUUGAGUAAAUUUGUGAAAUAAGAGGUAAAAAGAUGGAAACUUGACUCGGGCUUUUGCUUGUUUUGGCGGUAAAUCUUAUCACUAUAACAGUUGGGGUUUCAUGAAUCAUAUAGUGAAAGACUUGAAUGUUUCAGUUGUUUGAGCAACCAUUAGAGGUGAAUAUAGCUUCCUUUGGGAUGCCAUUUGGAUUGAAUGAGUUUUGUUUUGGUUUUUUACAAUAAGAACUCAUGAUUGGAUUAAGUAGAAUUAGAACCGUAAAUGCUAGGUGCACUCUUUCUUUUGGUGCACUCAAUGAUUGGAGAGUGGGAGCAACUGCCGCAGUUUAUUCUGCAGCUAUCUUGGAGUAUCUUACUGCUGAGGUGUUAGAGUUGGCAGGCAAUGCGAGCAAGGAUCUCAAGGUGAAACGCAUCACCCCGAGGCAUUUGCAGCUUGCUAUUCGUGGUGACGAGGAACUCGACACCCUGAUCAAGGGAACCAUUGCUGGUGGAGGUGUGAUCCCUCACAUUCACAAGUCACUUAUCAACAAGUCGACCAAGGAGUAGCUACUACAAACGGACUACAGCUCCAGAAGAGUGCUUCUACAAGGAACAGAGCCUCUUCGUGACUUUAAUGACAUAUAAUCUUUUCGAUUCUGUAUGUCAUCAUCCGACAUUUUUUAUUAAAUCGUAGGCUUACUUCAAGAAAUCGGUCAUCAUGUGACAGUGUCAUGAUUCUACCGGAGACAUGUUUGGACGACCUGUUGUUAUUUAUAAGGAGAUGUACCAAUCUGUGAUUUGGAUGAA
Molecule: RNA transcript, 1066 nt
Organism: Pyrus x bretschneideri (Chinese white pear)
Lineage: Eukaryota; Viridiplantae; Streptophyta; Magnoliopsida; Rosales; Rosaceae
Gene name: probable histone H2A variant 3
Exons: 2
Source: RefSeq, a predicted model, not a curated record